Cricetulus griseus (Chinese hamster) is the source of this 3725-nucleotide non-coding RNA. The record is from RefSeq and is a predicted model, not a curated record. NCBI's taxonomy places the organism in Eukaryota, Metazoa, Chordata, Mammalia, Rodentia, Cricetidae.
CAGUUGUUCCUCAAUUCAUCCAACCAUUGUUGAUGAGUGACUAUGGUUGAGCCACUGGAUACCAAGUACAAAGGAGGAGUAAGCUGAUGUUAAGAAAGAGAAGCAGUGACACAAGGGUGACUCACAGAAUUUCAACACAGACUCCGGAAGAAAGAGAAGCCCGUGGAUACCAGGAAGCGAUGGAGCCAGUCCCUGAAACCUGCUAAGCCAAGAGCAACUGGAUGACAGAAACGUAGUCUGGCAAGUAACAGGCGAUCUCCACAGAGGAAAUGCUGCCAGCUCAUAACACCGGAUGUAAUUAAGACCACAAGAGACACACACUUGGUUAUAAAUGCUGAACUUAGAGGUUACCUAGGAGACUUCAGGUGAUUGACAUGGGGUGGGCAUACAGCUCCAGCAAGGAAAAGAUACUGAGAUUUCCGAAUGGCUAGCUGAGUUCUCUUGGGGAGGAAUUGUGUAUGUUUUCAGCAGCAUUGAAAGAAUUCAGAAGUCAAGAGUACUCUGUGCUCCUCGUAAGAGACCCUGGGGGAAAUAGAGUUAGAGAAAUCCAUUGUUCAUGCAGACGAAAGACAAUCUAUGAAGGAUCAAUGCUUUCCCAUAACUGGGAACAUAAAGGACUCUUCUCUUAGGAAGCCUUCUUCUCGAGGUUUCACCUCCUGAAAGAAGACAGAUCCAACAUCCCCAGCCUCAUACAAGAGGAACGAUGUUAACAGCUAAACUAAUCAAGAUCCCUGACUUCAGGAGGCUCUUACCUCAGCUCUACCAUCAAUCAUGUGAUCUAACUGAUCUUCCGGAUGUCAACUCCCAAGCAAGGGAAUGAGAAGUCUCUCAGGAAGGAUCUCUGUAUACUACCUUCUUCUCCAGGUGAAGCAUGAAAGCAAAGAUCAUACAGCACAGACCCAGGCUCCUAGAAGGCCACUUUGAACAUGUCAUGGAAUUUUAAUUUCGCAACAUCUCCAAAGCCUACUGUCAAGAUAAAGACUAGCAUCUGAUGUUGGCUGAAACUCAACAUUUUCAUUUUAAACUUCAGUUGAAAACUCUGCCUUUCUCACCUGAGUGGACACUCUUGAGUGGCAGUCAUGACACAGUGAAAGCUGCUAUUUUUGUUUGUUUAGAAAUGUCAUAAGCCUUCUCUGCUGAGAACAAAUUCAUUCAACUUACAGUUAUGUUCAAAAAUGCGAUAAAAAAUGCAGUAUCGUUGCUCAAAUGUUCUGGUGACAUUUUCUUAAGCCAAAAGACAUGUGACAGCUAGAAAAGGCAAGAGAAGGCAAGAGAAAAGUAGUGGCGACACGUAGACCUAACAAAGGCUGGAGGGACACUAGUGGAUACUUAAAGUGCAGAGACACUGGAUGCCAAACAGUUAUGCUGCAUGAGUUUUAGUACUGUGGAAGGAACACUGUCCAUGCACGGAGAGGACAGCCAAGUAGCCAACAAACAGCCAAGAGAAGGACAAUUGAGAAGAACUCAGGGCCAAUACAUACUCAGGGCCAAUACACCACCAUGCAAACUUUGUUCCCCAUUGUUUUAUAAGCAGUGCUUUAACUGUGUUAAAAGCAAUGUUUGGAAAAAUCAACAGAAGAAGAGGAAAGACCAAAGGAGAGAGUAAAGAUCAGGCAAGGCACCUUAAAGGAAUGUAAAUGGAGGGGGAGAUUCAAAGGAGGGAAAAUACCAGUUACACUUCAGAUAAUAACUCUGCCAAGACUAAAAGCUAAAAUAUUUAACACAUGCUGGCUUGGCCCUGUACUAAAUGCCUUCUAUGGUUCAUCUGAUUUAAACUUCUUUCGAACUCUACAGAGGUGAAUAAGGCUAUUUCUGUUUGGAUGAUAAGGAAACAAGUGUUAAACCCAGGAUCUGGAAGAAGCUAGCCUGUGAAUUUGGGAGCAGCUUCAUCAGAUUGCUGCAGCCUUUGCAAGUGAAUUAAUUCUGAAUGCAUUUCUCUGUUUUUGUUUUGUUUUGUUGGCUGGUUGGUUUUCCAAGAAACGGUUCCUCUGUGUAGCCCUGGCUGGCCUGGAACUCACUCUAUAGACCAGGCUGGCCUCAAACUCAGAGAUCUGCCUGCGUCUGCCUCCUGAGUGCUGGGAUUAAAGGUAUGUGGCACCACCGCCCAGCUUUGCUGUUUUUAAUCUAGGUAAUGGGGAUUUAAAUUUAAAAUGAUAUAGAUGGUUAUCUUAAUCUUUUAAAAGUUUUCUAAGUCAUAUUUUAGGUUUCUCUUCUGUCCUAAAUAUACUAUCCUCAGCAGAACUUGAAUUUCACUUCAUAAUUCAUAGUAGAGUAAGCAUGGCUGAGACUUGACCGGUCAGGGAUCCAUAGGUCUGUUUUGUUCUUAUCUUUCACUGCAAGCAACAAUGCUCUGAGUUAGUUGCUCCUGGUUUGUCUACUUGGCUGUUCACACUGCCAGCCUCCCAGCUUUCACUGGCUGUUACAAUCCUCAGCUCUAGAAGGAACUUGCCUUUCCCUUUCUCCAAAUUGUCUGCUUGUUCACACCCCUUCUGCAUCAUUUAUUGUCUAUCAACUUCCAAUCAACUCAACUCAUUUUUAUUUUGUUUGGUCCUUCUCCACAGGCUACUUCAUCAGCAAAAAAAGUAGACAUCCUAAGCCAGAUCCAAUUCCCAUGCAAAUUCUCAGCCAGCCAGAACUGAGGGGUUUGUACAGCUUGGUACAGAUUGAGAAGAUUUGCCAUUUCAGGAAUUGACAGUAUUGCCAUUUCAUAGCAGAGUAAACUGAGGCUCAUAACUACCACCUGUAAGUGUAGCUCAGGAUGUGUUUGGUACAUAGGAAGCCGUGGGUCUGAUCUCCAGUACAAAAAAAAGAUCUCCAGCAGAGAAAGAACAAGCUGAGAUUUGAACAUAGUCUUUCUGCCCUUCUACUUCCUGCCACAAUGGGUUUGGAAGAACAAGACAAUCUUUUCUUGCUAUAAGAAAUAGCCAGAUCUUGCUCUAGUAACAACAGCACAAAUGGUCAGGUGGAGAAUGCUGCCUAUUUUUGAACUGGUACCAGUCACGCUGCCACAUGUCAAGAGAGCCCCUUGGCGGUUAGUUUACUGCUGUUCUUGGGCAAAGCUCAGCACUUGCAAUGAAUACUACUGCACAGGUAUAAACAAACACACAAUGAAAUAUAUGUUUCUCUAAGGCAAGUUAGAUAUCUUUUGAAAUGAAGAUAUUGCUAAGAUCAACUUUUUCAUUUCUUUACUCAAAAGCUUUCAUGAUCAUGUCAUUCAAAAAUCCUGUUUUGUCUCCCCAAUGGCCUGGGUGUCUGAGUUGCUCCAUUGAUUUAUUCAAUGUAUGUUAAAUAACUCCUUAGUGCUAAGGAAAGUGCUAGGCAGGAAGAGUCUAGCUAGUGAACUAAUGUGAAUCUGCAUUUACUCCCAAUAACUGUUAACAUUAUCAAUCCUUAAAAAGCAGAUUCAGAGGGCUGAAGACAUAGAUCAGCCACAGGACACCUGCCUAACAUACACCCUGAGUUCCAUCCCCAGCACCCCCAAAAAUGGACUCAUAACCUUGUUUUGUUGUUAUUUCAAAGGUCAAAUUAUUAAAAUGUGUCUCAUUCAAAUAUUCUCAAAUUUAAAGCAGUAUGUAAAUCACCCUUUUAAAAACAAACAGAAAACUUCCUUCAACCUGUAAUAAGAAUCCCUGACUACACCUUGGGCUCCAGGGUCUAAGACUCAGAAAACUAUAGAGAAACAUUUUAAACACAGACAACAACCAAGUAAAAUACACAAACAAAGC